UACACGACCGUACCGCAAACCGACACUGGUGCGCGAGAUGAGUAUUCUAAGGCGCUUGAGAGAACUCAGGAGAAGGAACUCGGCAAAUUGACACCGUAACUUCGGAAGAAGGUGUGCCUUUAGUAGGUGAACCAUUUACUUGGGGAGCCCAAUGAGGCUGCAAAAAAUCGGUGGCUGCAACUGUUUAUUAAAAACACAGCACUCUGCUAAGACGAAAGUCGACGUAUAGGGUGUGACGCCUGCCCGGUGCUGGAAGAUUAAAUGAUGGGGUGCAAGCUCUUGAUUGAAGUCCCAGUAAACGGCGGCCGUAACUAUAACGGUCCUAAGGUAGCGAAAUUCCUUGUCGGGUAAGUUCCGACCUGCACGAAUGGCGUAAUGAUGGCCACACUGUCUCCUCCUGAGACUCAGCGAAGUUGAAAUGUUUGUGAUGAUGCAAUCUCCCCGCGGAAAGACGGAAAGACCCCAUGAACCUUUACUGUAGCUUUGUAUUGGACUUUGAACAGAUCUGUGUAGGAUAGGUGGGAGGCUUUGAAGUGUGGUCGCUAGAUCGCAUGGAGCCAACGUUGAAAUACCACCCUGGUGUGUUUGAGGUUCUAACCUAGGUCCAUUAUCUGGAUCGGGGACAGUGCAUGGUAGGCAGUUUGACUGGGGCGGUCUCCUCCCAAAGUGUAACGGAGGAGUUCGAAGGUACGCUAGGUACGGUCGGACAUCGUGCUAAUAGUGCAAUGGCAUAAGCGUGCUUAACUGCGAGACUGACAAGUCGAGCAGAUGCGAAAGCAGGACAUAGUGAUCCGGUGGUUCUGUAUGGAAGGGCCAUCGCUCAACGGAUAAAAGGUACUCUGGGGAUAACAGGCUGAUACCGCCCAAGAGUUCAUAUCGACGGCGGUGUUUGGCACCUCGAUGUCGGCUCAUCUCAUCCUGGGGCUGUAGCCGGUCCCAAGGGUAUGGCUGUUCGCCAUUUAAAGAGGUACGUGAGCUGGGUUUAAAACUCGUGAGACAGUUUGGUCCCUAUCUUCCGUGGGCGCUGCAGAUUUGAGGAAGCCUGCUCCUAGUACGAGAGGACCGGAGUGGACGAACCUCUGGUGUAUCGGUUGUCACGCCAGUGGCAUUGCCGAGUAGCUAAGUUCGGAAGAGAUAACCGCUGAAAGCAUCUAAGCGGGAAACUCGUUUCAAGAUUAGAUCUGCCGGGGCCUUGAGCCCCCUAAAGAGUCGUUCAAGACCAGGACGUUGAUAGGUCAGGUGUGGAAGCGAAAAA
Molecule: ribosomal RNA, 1255 nt
Filed under: metagenome
Description: bacterial LSU rRNA
Rfam family: Bacterial large subunit ribosomal RNA
Source: RNAcentral